UAUUAUUUUGGCAGAGAAGUGUGUUAGAUUUAGAAUCUUUUUAUGUAAAUUUAUUUACAAAUAAU
This 65-nucleotide transfer RNA is filed under the name Entiminae sp. ACP-2013. RNAcentral's name for it is "tRNA-Leu". Lineage: Eukaryota; Metazoa; Arthropoda; Insecta; Coleoptera; Curculionidae. The record is from RNAcentral.